Molecule: ribosomal RNA, 253 nt
Filed under: uncultured bacterium
Lineage: Bacteria
Description: partial 16S ribosomal RNA
Rfam family: Bacterial small subunit ribosomal RNA
Source: RNAcentral
UACAGAGGUCUCGAGCGUUAGGCGGAAUCACUGGGCUUAAAGCGUGUGUAGGCGGAUCGGUAAGUACCUUGUGAAAUCCCACAGCUUAACUGUGGAACUGCUUGGUAUACUGCCAGUCUUGAGCCAGCUAGGGGCUACCGGAACAAAUGGUGGAGCGGUGAAAUACGUAGAUAUCAUUUGGAACGCCAAUGGUGAAAACAGGUAGCUGGGGCUGUGCUGACGCUGAGACACGAAAGCCAGGGGAGCAAACGGG